AAAUUCCUUCUCGUGCAGAUACUGCCUUAAAGAUUUACAAUGGAUAUAAGGUAUGUCUAUAUGUGAGAGGGCAUAACCGCCAAUGUCUACUUCAGUUUAGGGUCCCAUGGAACCACCAUUGUUGAGUAUGUUAAAUACUACAUGCGUGAGAUUGUUCCUACUAAUACAUGUAGCAGUAUAUAUUUUCAUUUUGGUAACAACUGUUAUCUACAUUUGCACGAGUUAAGGGUGAGGUCUUUGGAUAAGGGUUUGGAA
Molecule: long non-coding RNA, 255 nt
Filed under: Trifolium pratense (red clover)
Lineage: Eukaryota; Viridiplantae; Streptophyta; Magnoliopsida; Fabales; Fabaceae
Description: long non-coding RNA (TPRA_LNC004582)
Source: RNAcentral